AGAGUUUGAUCCUGGCUCAGAUUGAACGCUGGCGGCAGGCCUAACACAUGCAAGUCGAGCGGAUGAGUGGAGCUUGCUCCAUGAUUCAGCGGCGGACGGGUGAGUAAUGCCUAGGAAUCUGCCUGGUAGUGGGGGACAACGUUUCGAAAGGAACGCUAAUACCGCAUACGUCCUACGGGAGAAAGCAGGGGACCUUCGGGCCUUGCGCUAUCAGAUGAGCCUAGGUCGGAUUAGCUAGUUGGUGAGGUAACGGCUCACCAAGGCGACGAUCCGUAACUGGUCUGAGAGGAUGAUCAGUCACACUGGAACUGAGACACGGUCCAGACUCCUACGGGAGGCAGCAGUGGGGAAUAUUGGACAAUGGGCGAAAGCCUGAUCCAGCCAUGCCGCGUGUGUGAAGAAGGUCUUCGGAUUGUAAAGCACUUUAAGUUGGGAGGAAGGGCAGUAAGUUAAUACCUUGCUGUUUUGACGUUACCGACAGAAUAAGCACCGGCUAACUUCGUGCCAGCAGCCGCGGUAAUACGAAGGGUGCAAGCGUUAAUCGGAAUUACUGGGCGUAAAGCGCGCGUAGGUGGUUCAGCAAGUUGGAUGUGAAAGCCCCGGGCUCAACCUGGGAACUGCGUUUGAAACUACAAGACUAGAAUAUGUCAGAGGGGGGUAGAAUUCCACGUGUAGCAGUGAAAUGCGUAGAGAUGUGGAGGAAUACCAAUGGCGAAGGCAGCCCCCUGGGAUAAUAUUGACGCUCAUGCACGAAAGCGUGGGGAGCAAACAGGAUUAGAUACCCUGGUAGUCC
RNAcentral lists this ribosomal RNA (793 nucleotides) under uncultured bacterium. RNAcentral's name for it is "bacterial SSU rRNA". It matches the Rfam family "Bacterial small subunit ribosomal RNA", at positions 8 to 796 of the family's 1533-position model. The record is from RNAcentral.